Molecule: ribosomal RNA, 423 nt
Filed under: Triticum aestivum (bread wheat)
Lineage: Eukaryota; Viridiplantae; Streptophyta; Magnoliopsida; Poales; Poaceae
Description: partial small subunit ribosomal RNA
Source: RNAcentral
AUGGCAAGUGGGCAGAAGAGGCGCCUGCUGGUGGUGAUGGCGUCCUCAUCGAUUGCGGCGGCGCAGUCGACGUCAACAUGCGGUGACAACCAAUCGAGGGCAACAUCCAAGGACCUCAUCACGCUCAACGGUUCCGCCGCCUUAUUUCUUCAGUAUGCAUGCGCCUCCUCCCAUCCCCUCUUCCCCUCCACCAAUCUUAGUAUCUUAUCGAGUGAUUCGAUUGAUUCGAGGGCAGGUUACGCGGAAAAUGGGAGCGGCCUUGUCAUGAAAUCCAUGAGCGAAGACAUCCAAAAUGAUUAUUCCAACCAAAGAUUGCUGGCUGCAAUGCGUGACCAUUUCGGGUCAGUAAAUUGUGUGAGAUGGGCUAAACAUGGGCACUAUCUUGCUUCAGUAUCAGAUGAACAAGCAUUCAAGCUAUCCUAA